AAAUUGAAGAGUUUGAUCAUGGCUCAGAUUGAACGCUGGCGGCAGGCCUAACACAUGCAAGUCGAACGGUAACAGGAAACAGCUUGCUGUUUCGCUGACGAGUGGCGGACGGGUGAGUAAUGUCUGGGAAACUGCCCGAUGGAGGGGGAUAACUACUGGAAACGGUAGCUAAUACCGCAUAACGUCGCAAGACCAAAGAGGGGGACCUUCGGGCCUCUUGCUAUCGGAUGUGCCCAGAUGGGAUUAGCUAGUAGGUGGGGUAACGGCUCACCUAGGCGACGAUCCCUAGCUGGUCUGAGAGGAUGACCAGCCACACUGGAACUGAGACACGGUCCAGACUCCUACGGGAGGCAGCAGUGGGGAAUAUUGCACAAUGGGCGCAAGCCUGAUGCAGCCAUGCCGCGUGUAUGAAGAAGGCCUUCGGGUUGUAAAGUACUUUCAGCGGGGAGGAAGGGAGUAAAGUUAAUACCUUUACUCAUUGACGUUACCCGCAGAAGAAGCACCGGCUAACUCCGUGCCAGCAGCCGCGGUAAUACGGAGGGUGCAAGCGUUAAUCGGAAUUACUGGGCGUAAAGCGCACGCAGGCGGUUUGUUAAGUCAGAUGUGAAAUCCCCGGGCUCAACCUGGGAACUGCAUCUGAUACUGGCAAGCUUGAGUCUCGUA
RNAcentral lists this ribosomal RNA (663 nucleotides) under Escherichia coli. RNAcentral's name for it is "bacterial SSU rRNA". It matches the Rfam family "Bacterial small subunit ribosomal RNA", at positions 1 to 653 of the family's 1533-position model. Lineage: Bacteria; Pseudomonadati; Pseudomonadota; Gammaproteobacteria; Enterobacterales; Enterobacteriaceae. The record is from RNAcentral. RNAcentral also lists the same sequence under 1 other name.